UACGAAGGGGGCUAGCGUUGCUCGGAAUCACUGGGCGUAAAGCGCACGUAGGCGGAUUCCUAAGUCGGGGGUGAAAUCCUGGAGCUCAACUCCAGAACUGCCUUCGAUUCUGGGAAUCUUGAGUCCGGAAGAGGUGAGUGGAACUGCGAGUGUAGAGGUGAAAUUCGUAGAUAUUCGCAAGAACACCAGUGGCGAAGGCGGCUCGCUGGUCCGGUACUGACGCUGAGGUGCGAAAGCGUGGGGAGCAAACAGG
Molecule: ribosomal RNA, 253 nt
Filed under: uncultured bacterium
Lineage: Bacteria
Description: partial 16S ribosomal RNA
Rfam family: Bacterial small subunit ribosomal RNA
Source: RNAcentral